GGGCGUGUGGUCCAGUGGUCAAGACUUCUAUGUACUAGUUUCUCUUACCUCCUUCUCACCCUACCAUGUAGCUGUGAUGAAGUCGUACAAGUCCAAGGCAGUCCUCCAUAGAGGCCUGGGUUCGAACCCCAGCGCGUCCA
Cercophora samala is the source of this 140-nucleotide non-coding RNA. The record is from the annotation of a GenBank genome assembly. NCBI's taxonomy places the organism in Eukaryota, Fungi, Ascomycota, Sordariomycetes, Sordariales, Lasiosphaeriaceae.